UCCUUUAGAAUUUUAUUUAAGGUUUGACCUGCCCACUGAUUUAUUGAAUGGCCGCAGUAUUUUAACUGUGCAAAGGUAGCAUAAUCCUUUGUUUUUUAAUUGGAGGCUGGAAUGAAUGGUUGGACGAAAUAUUGACUGUUUCACUUUAAUUUUUUAUAGAAUUUUAUUUUUUAGUUAAAAAGCUAAAAUUUAUUUAAAAGACGAGAAGACCCUAUAAAUCUUUAUAUUUUUGUAAAAAAGGAAUUUUUAGGUUGUAUUUAUUUUUUUUUUUUAAUAAUAUUUUAUUGGGGUGAUGUUAAAAUUUAAUGAACUUUUAAUUAUAAUUUUCAUUUAUUUAUGAGUGUUUGAUCCAUUAUUGGUGAAUAAAAAAAUAAGUUACUUUAGGGAUAACAGCGUAAUUUUUUUGGAGAGUUCUUAUCGAUAAAAAGGAUUGCGACCUCGAUGUUGGAUUAAGAGAUGUAUUUGGGUGU
This 470-nucleotide ribosomal RNA is filed under the name Cephalopina titillator. Its description in RNAcentral is "partial large subunit ribosomal RNA". The record is from RNAcentral. Lineage: Eukaryota; Metazoa; Arthropoda; Insecta; Diptera; Oestridae.